CCAUUAGCUAGUUGGUAAGGUAACGGCUUACCAAGGCAACGAUGGUUAGGUGGUCUGAGAGGACGAUCACCCACACUGGGACUGAGACACUGCCCAGACUCCUACGGGAGGCUGCAGUCGAGAAUCUUCCGCAAUGCGCGAAAGCGUGACGGAGCAAUGCAGAGUGUGUGAUGAAGGUCUUCGGAUUGUAAAGCACUGUCAACAGGGACGAAUAAAAUGACGGUACCUGUAGAGGAAGCACCGGCUAAAUACGUGCCAGCAGCCGCGGUAAUACGUAUGGUGCAAGCGUUAUUCGGAUUUAUUGGGCGUAAAGGGUUCGUAGGUGGUUUAUUAAGUCAGAUGUGAAAUCCAACGGCUCAACCGUUGAACUGCAUUUGAAACUGAUAAACUAGAGUAUUGGAGAGGUAAGUGGAAUUUCAGGUGUAGCGGUGGAAUGCGUAGAUAUCUGAAGGAACACCAAUAGCGAAAGCAGCUUACUGGA
This 481-nucleotide ribosomal RNA is filed under the name uncultured bacterium. Its description in RNAcentral is "bacterial SSU rRNA". It matches the Rfam family "Bacterial small subunit ribosomal RNA", at positions 238 to 733 of the family's 1533-position model. The record is from RNAcentral.